RNAcentral lists this ribosomal RNA (460 nucleotides) under uncultured bacterium. Its description in RNAcentral is "partial 16S ribosomal RNA". It matches the Rfam family "Bacterial small subunit ribosomal RNA", at positions 338 to 795 of the family's 1533-position model. The record is from RNAcentral.
CCUACGGGUGGCAGCAGUGAGGAAUAUUGGUCAAUGGACGAGAGUCUGAACCAGCCAAGCCGCGUGAAGGAUGACUGCCCUAUGGGUUGUAAACUUCUUUUAUAUGGGAAUAAAAUGUUCCACGUGUGGGAUUUUGUAUGUACCAUAUGAAUAAGGAUCGGCUAACUCCGUGCCAGCAGCCGCGGUAAUACGGAGGAUCCGAGCGUUAUCCGGAUUUAUUGGGUUUAAAGGGGGCGUAGGUGGAUUGUUAAGUCAGUUGUGAAAGUUUGCGGCUCAACCGUAAAAUUGCAGUUGAAACUGGCAGGCUUGAGUACAGUAGAGGUAGGCGGAAUUCGUGGUGUAGCGGUGAAAUGCUUAGAUAUCACGAAGAACUCCGAUUGCGAAGGCAGCUCACUGGACUGCAACUGACACUGAGGCUCGAAAGUGUGGGUAUCAAACAGGAUUAGAUACCCCAGUAGUC